This 475-nucleotide unclassified non-coding RNA is filed under the name Hevea brasiliensis (rubber tree). The record is from RNAcentral. Lineage: Eukaryota; Viridiplantae; Streptophyta; Magnoliopsida; Malpighiales; Euphorbiaceae.
UAAAAAAAAAAAAAAACACAAAUAAAAGGAAAAUUAAAGUGAAAAAUGGGAGAUAUGAUGAUGGUUGGGAGAUGAAGAAUUUGUGGAAGAGAAAGAUUGCGUGGAUGGGUUAUUGAUCAAUGGUUUUGUGCCACGUUGGAGUUGCAUAGAUAAAGUGGGUUUGCUUCUCUUCUACAGAGAAGUGUGUUUUUGUUAAGGACUUCAGGAUUAGGAUGGGCUGCUCUUUCUCAGGCCCAGCUUCAUGUUUAACACAGAGAAGAAAGAACCUUGAAAAUUUGUUCAGUUCGUGGUACUUCUUCACAUCGAUCAUUGCUCUCUUAAAUUUCAGUUGCUUUCUUAAAAGGAAAAAUCUAGUAUUUGAAAUACUUAUAUAUAUUUUUUUAUAUAUUUUUAAAGAAAAUAACUUUCAAAAGAGAUUUAUUUUCCUAAUUUUGACAACCUUAUUUUCCUAAGAUUAACGAAAAAUCAAUAAAAG